CGUCAUUGUUAAACGUCUCGACAUCCGAUAUGUGGCUACAAAUCCAAGUAUUGAAAUGGCGAGAAUUACAGCACCCAACAUAAGAAGAAAAACUCCACAUGCGCUAACGAAUUCUUUAAAAUUAAUGUCCAUUAGUGGGUCUGCAUGUGUAACAUUUGGUGGGUGCAUUAUUUCUACACCUGGGAAAACGUUGAUUGCUAGUAACA
This 206-nucleotide long non-coding RNA is filed under the name Mytilus galloprovincialis (Mediterranean mussel). Lineage: Eukaryota; Metazoa; Mollusca; Bivalvia; Mytilida; Mytilidae. The record is from RNAcentral.